This 35837-nucleotide long non-coding RNA is filed under the name Zea mays. RNAcentral describes it as "long non-coding RNA (ZMAY_LNC005431)". The stretch from base 27547 to 27619 matches the Rfam family "tRNA". Lineage: Eukaryota; Viridiplantae; Streptophyta; Magnoliopsida; Poales; Poaceae. The record is from RNAcentral.
GCAGCAUUCCUCUCCCCUCCAAAAGAAGAGAGCGCUGCAUUUUUCGCCCCAAGCAUGGCUUACCGUACAAGAUCUGCGAGUGCGCCUUCCAGCCGUUGCUCCAACGAACCCAGCAUCGAGGAUCAGCUGCAGAUUCAUUAACGAAACCAUCCGAGGAGGCUUGGAAGUGUGUCUACAACGACAUUUAGGAGAUCAUGUGCUUGACUAGCAACCAAGUCAGCCUGUGCCAACCAAAGCAAAGGAAAGCAGUGGAGGACGAGGUUGAGCGCGCGCUCCCUCUCUCUCUCCUGUUGCUUGAUUUCUUCGGUGCCAUGCAAGAGAGCAAGCUCGAGCAUUCAGGAGACAGGAGGUGCAACUGAUUAUCAAAAGGGGAGACGUUGAAGCCAAGAUUCAGUUUCGAACCCUAAAUAUGCUUUGUAAAGAAGAUGCAGAGAGCUGGAGGAGGUUCAAGAAGAUUAACAAUAGGUCUACCUUCAGCUAACCAGGAGAGCUGCAGGGUGGUCAAGCUGUUGGGUGAAGCUAGAGAUAUUGCUGUCUCAAUUCUCGAGUCCUCGUCACAUUUCCUGUCAAAGCAGAUUGCAGCAAAGUUCUAGCAAGUGGUCUUUCAACCACAAGACAUUUCCUAAAGAGAAGAGUUCUAUGUGAAGUGGAUCAGUUACAAGCCUAAAGCCUUGGAGUUGGACAUUGUAUAUCUUCAGUGUAGAUUUGGGACUUUGUUCUAAAAAAAAACUAUCCAAAGCAGAGUUUCCCUUCUCAACACUCUCAGCUUGUAGAUAGAUGUACCAACUCAACCCUUUGGCACCCCCCUUUUAGAUGAUCAGCUGGUCACUGCACAUAUAUGAGAAAUAUUGUACAGAAAAACAGUCACUUGGAAACAGAAACGUAAUUUUGAACUUGUUUUAUGUUAUAAACCAUAUGGUACAAUGACCCAAGUUUGUAGCAUCCAUCAAGAAAAUACUUUAUUAAGAACAAAUGAUGCUCCAAAGGUGCUCAAUACCAGUGACAGUUAUUAAAGUAGCUAGUUGUUAGGGUGCGUUCUUCAAGUUGAUAAUUGCAUGUCUUUAUUAUGACAUGCCCACGUUGCUGAGAUGCAAUAUGUUGCCUCAGCAACAAGCAGCAGAUCCUUGUCCAGUGGAUCUUGCUAACUAUAACUAAAACAAACCAGCUCCUGCACACGAGGUAGAGCGUGUAAGUAGCAUGAGCCAUGAGUUGCGCAGAGUAAAAUACCUACUGCCAUCUGCGACUGCGCAGCAACCAUACAACACGUACUUCACCAAUAAUACUUGGUCUGCGACCACUAAACUAAUCCCAGGAGCAUGCAAUUGUGUCAAGAUCAAGAUUGUCCAGUGGAGUAACUAACCUGUUGAUUCUUGUUGCCGCCAUUAGUUGGAGCAUGGCAAUGUGAUAGAUCACUGGGAGAGUGGGAGAAUAGCUGGCACACUAAAAAGAAUGAUAAACACACGCCGCGUGGUGAAGGAAACAGAUUCCUUAUGCUGCUGCCAGAUCUCAAACCUUGAGAGACAACACUGAGGAGAUGAAAUGGCAGGAUUCUCUUUGUCUACCAUUCAAAAGAUGCUGCCUCAUACCCUCUGUCUAUAAAUAGGGUCUCGCCAGAGACUUGAAUCAUCAACCAAAGAUUUUCGCUUCUCAUUACUUCACCUCAUUUCAAUAUACAUCCAGCCAGAGACUAGAGAUCGACAUGGCUUGCCAUCUUAGGUCGAUAAGCUUGCCGUCUAGGCCUCAGUCCGGCGAAGCCGCAGUGCAGCAAGAGCUGUGUAUUCUAGAUGCAAUCAUCUCCUCGCCAUCAACAUGUAUCGUCACGAUGUGUGACGGUUUGAGGAGGCUUGGAGACAUCUACAACAGCGUUGUGGAGAUGACUCACUUGCCAAGCAACCAAGUCUGCUCUUCCCAGCAAAGGAAGAUGCUGGAUGGAGAAAUCGAAUCUUCCCUCGAGCUGCUGGAUCUCUGCAACACCAUGCAAGAGAUCUUUGUUGAGUUGAAGGCCAUCAUCCAAGAGCUGCAGGUGGCUCUAAGAAAAGGAGAUGGCGCAACCGUUCAAGCCAAGAUCCAGUCCUACAGCCGCUUGGUGAAGAAGGCUAAGCAGUCUUUCAAGAAGUCAAGCAAGAAGGCCACUUCUGACAAGGCAGACUGUGCAGUGGUCAGGCUCCUGACCAAGGCCAGGGAGAUCGCCAUCUCUCUACUUGAGACCACGGUGCAGCUCCUGUCAAAGCAAAUUGAGGUGCCGAAGCAGUCACUUGUCUCAAAGGCGUUUUCCAAGAGAAAAGCAGUUGUCUGCGAGGAGGACCAGUUACAGGCGUUAGAGUGCAGCGUUGGAGAUCUCGAGAGCGGAGCAGGACACCUGUUCAGGAUAUUGGUCCAGAGCAGGGUCUCUCUCCUGAACAUCCUUAGCUCAUAGACACUCCUUGUUGCUCUUGACAUCCUGUGAUUGGCAUCCGCGUUUUUGAGGAUUAGCUAAUCUUGAUGCAGUUUUGUAAUAUGUAUAGAGUACAAAUGUAUAGGGGGGGAAAUCGGAAAGGAAAAAAAAAGACACAGUUUUGAUCCAAUUCAUUUUUGUUGACGUGAUUUUGUGCAUUCAGUAAGGAUUGCUUUGUUUUCGGAUGCUUAAUUUGUGGAUCUUGCCCUGCGUACAAGAAGCAUGCCAGAUCACAGCCACAAUGGUUAAGCUGAAAUAGCAGAAUAAAUUAAUCAUCCAGAUUCCCCCUACCACGUUGGUGCAGUAAACCAAAUUUCAGCCGCCCUAAACCAGCUGAAUCAGCCAAGUUGAAGGCGAGGCAAAGGUGCGUGUCGCCCUUACAGAUCGGGAGGAGCCAAAUGGCAUGGUCCGUACCAGACGGAGUUGUGUGUGUAGGGACCAGGGAGCUUUGGGGGUCAGUGAUAGAAUUCAACUUCCCGUCCCCUGAAUUGGCUCCGCCGCGGCUUUCGAAUUGUAGAGCGCUCCUCGCGGUCCUCCCACCCGUUUCGUCCUCGUCGUCGGGCGUCGGCGACCCCGCCGCCUUCUCCACCUCGAGGCCACGGACUCGGCUACUCAGCGUUGCAUUGGUGGUGGGGUGGCACCGGACUUUAUCCCGCCGCCGCCGGACGGCGACUGUCCAAGGGUCCAACUCGGAACGAAUGUAUUUUCUGAAAAUGAGAUUCCAUCCUUAGUAGAGUGGUAGAGCGAUGAUUUUGAUGGCAACGUGUAAGGUUCAGGAGAUGUUCCUCAUGUCAAAUCAAACAAAAAAUGGAGGUGAAAGAUACCAUGGCAAUAGCAAUGUGGUAUCAGGCUGCCUAUUCCCAAUACCAUCAAAAACAUCUCGGAACAAGGUUCGUGCGUGAUGCGAGAGCAAAGCAUAGGUAGCAUGACCAAAAGUGAACCAACCCCUUGGUCUGCUACGAAAAACACCAUCUGAUUUCAAAGUAGCUCGAUCUAAUUCAAAAAUUUCCCCUAAUUGAGCACGCUGCGCAUAUUUUUUUUUACAGUAGUAGGAUCAGAAUAACUUACUCCAUUAAAUUUGCCACCAUAGAACUCCACCGUUAUGUCUACUUGUUCAACACUAUAUUUGGAUUUUGCUCUUCUAGAAGGAAUGUCCGCUCUCACAAUUCCCUCUUCAUCUACCAAAAUGACCGGAAAUGUUUCAAAAAAAAUAGGCAUACGACGUACAAAAAGCUCGCGUCCUUUAGUCAGCUCGGUUUCUUAACAAGCAAACUCACGAGCUAAACGAGCUAUCACAUUUCAGUAAAACGAAACUAUAUACAUAAUUUACAUAACAAUUGAUGAACAUGUUAUAUGUUAUAUGUAUGUGUGGUUUGUUAACAAGCCGUACAAUCAUGAGGAUUAAAUUAGUGGAAUGGCACAACAUGCUAAACUUGAUAACUGUGGUUACUCUGUCUGUGUCUAGAGAUAAAUUUGUUUGGGAUGAUCAUAAGAAUGGAAUCUUCUAUGUCCAAUCUAUGUACUAUUUUUUGAUGAAUAUUCCCAACAACGAAUGGAGCAAGAAGCUCUGGAAACUUAAGCUCCCCUUGAAAAUAAAAGUUUUUUUUGUGGAAUUUAUAUCGGGGAGCGAUCCUCACUAAAGACAAUUUAGCCAAAAGGCGAUGAAAAGGUAGCUUGACAUGUAGCUUUUGCAAUCGAAAUGAAAGUAUUCACCAUCUCUUUUUGACUGCUAUAUGGCCAAAAGCAUAUGGAGAAUAAUUUACUUUGCCUUAUAAUAGAAAUGGUCGUUAGCAUUAAUCAUAUUAUCGGGUCUUGGGGAACCAAUAGGGGUCCGGGUUACAAAAAAUUACUCUUUGGAAUAGCAGCUUUUAUUUUGGGCUAUUUGGCUCAGUCGAAAUGAGGUGGCUUUUAAUCAUAAACCAAUUCCACUAAUUGUGAAGGUUAUUUUUAGAUGUACUCGCUGGUUCAGAUUAUGGAGACUUCUACAAAAGGAGGAAUCACAACAACAUAUCCUCGAUAUUUGUCAAGCUUUGAAAGUGGUGACGAUGGAAGUCUUCACAAAUCAUGGAUGACACUCAAAUGCAAGAAUUGAGUAUGGCUAGUGUUAGCCAUAGUCUUGUCAUUUUGUUCCUUUGAGUUAGUUUCACUAUUUAUGCAACUGUUUACGAUUGUAAUAAUCGACUUGUAUUGGUUGUACGCAUUAUCAUGCUAAAGUCAGAACUCAUGUUUCCAUUAUAAAAAAAUAUGUAUGUGUGGUGUCUAUGGCGUAUGAGUUAACUCAUGAUUGCUGAACUGUCUAUAUGUUAUGUCUAUGUGAAUAUAAUUGUGGGUUAAACUGAUGAACAUGUGUGUGAAUUGUGAAUUGAUGAGUAAUGAGGUGUCUUAAUUUGGUGUUAUAUUUAUGUUGUCCGUGAAACUAUAAGUAUAAUUACUAUUUUCUAUUGUUAAAUUAGUUUGAAAUUAACUAGAAAUUGAUUAUUAUUAGUAUAUAUUAUUUUUUUCUGUUCGGGCUCGCGAGCUAAAUGAGCCAGUUCGAGCUCGUAAAUAAGCCGAGCGAAGCUGACUAUGUGGUUCGUUAACUUAAUGAGCCAGCUCGAACUCGGGUUAGCAACGUGUGCACAUAUGCUCAAACAGUUAUUGUGCACAUAUGCACAUUUAAAAUCUGAGCCCUCCUCUUCAGAUCCAACGUUGGAUUGGGUUUUAUGUUUUCUCCCUCCCAACUCUCCUCCUUGGCAGCCAAUUUGUUUUACGAAUAACCCCUGCAAGCAGACUUGACCCUGUAAUAAAGGUAAGAGAUGAUCUACUACCUUUUUUAAAUACAAAAUAUAUUGAAAUAUUCCAGCUUCUGCACCAAUAGAUGCAUGUGGCUGUUCAAUUAUUGCAUCUCAAACCAAAACAUAUGAUGUUUAAUAUCUCAAAACAACCAUAUUUCGUAAUCUACUAAAAACCAAUUCAAUUACUAAAACUCUAUCUGUUGUAUGAGAAAAUUUGCAUCAUUGUAAGCGCACGGCAUCCCCACUAGAUUUGUGUCAUGUUUUCCUCUUUUUGCAAAAGGAACAUUGUCUUAUCCGGUGGGUUCCUGAAGACUACCUAUAUAGGAGUAGAAACUAGUGUAUUGUUAAAAAUCACAUCAUUUCGAUAUAGCCAUAUUGCCUAACACAAGGUGCAUGCUCCUUCCCAGAUUUUGUACUUAAGUGUAUCAUCCACCCCAUUCAACCAAUUUCUAAACAUAUGAUGUAUGCUUAAAGAUGGUGAUAUGUUAAAGGAGAUUUGUACCCCUCUCCAAAUGCAUCUAGCAAUAGAACAAUCCAAGAAGAGAUGCUGAACGGAUUCAUUUAAACUACAUCCACAACACUUUAUACUCCAUUUCCAACGUUUUCUCGCUAGAUCAUCUUUAGUUAGAGCAAUGUUCUUGAUCAAAUACCACAUAAAUAUCUUAAUUUUCAAAGGUAAUUUUAGCUUUCAGAUGAGAUGAUUUUGUUGUACAAUAUGUGGAGCGAUAAAAGCUUUAUACAUAUUUCUGUAAGGACUAAAAGAUCGUAUCUCUUUGAGCAGUGGCGGACGCAGAACAAAAUUCUAGGUGGGGCCAACAGUGCAAGAGACAAAUCAUAAAACUAGACCAUAAAUGUAGAUUAAUGAUAAUAACAUGAAUGUUAAAAUGAUAAUAUCUAGUGUUUCCAAAAUGAUAUGGAUACCCAAAAACCUUUUUGGCUACCUAAAGGAGAGCUCGAGAGAAAAAAAUAGGUGGACUCACCGAGGACGAGGCACUAGGGCGGAGCAGUCGUAUCGGCGCGUCGUUCUGGCGAGUCAUCGAAUUUGUCAUGAGAUGACGUUGGUGAGACGACGACAGGUGAGAGGAGCAAGUGCAGGAGGCGAGGUAGCGAUAGAUGAUGGUGACGCCAAGCAAUAACCAUUGUCGUGUUGCGACGGCGCGGUGGAACCCUAAUGAGUUAGCGAGGGACAGGUGACGCCACGGUCCCACCAAUAGCUUGCCCAUCUGCUAGUGUGGACUAGGAGGCAAAAUAUCAAUGUUGUGUGCAGGAUCCUGACGAGUCGACAAGCUGAUGAGUAAUGAGAAGGCAAUGUGCGCUGCAGCGGCGGGUUAGGUCACCGACUUAUUGGUCAGUCAAUGAUCGAAGAAGCGAGUGAGCCAUGAGUGGGCUUGCGCUAGGCAAGAGAAUCAAAUGGCUCAGGUGAAGAGUGGACUGAGCAAUGAAACGCCGAGAGAAAAAUAGAUCAGAACCUAGUUUUCAUUAGAUUUGUCCACGCUAACUAUACAAAAGUUUGUUUAUUUUGGUGUGUACCUAAACCUAGGUAUAAGGGGUUAAAAAAUUGAGGUGGAGCCAUGGCCCACCUUGCCCACCCCGCCACUGUCUUUGAGUGGUAAGUUGGAGGUUGAUAGCUCUUGCUACCACUUGGUGCCAUGCUAUCAAAUUUUAUCCCACCAAGGAUUCCGAAAAGAUACAUUUAAUGGAUGAUCUACUACCUAGCGCUUCCUUUGGUGAUCGAUCGCUUCGAAUGCCGCCUGCCCUAACUCCUUCGAAGUCCUCCUGCUGCUGGAGACAGAUCCCGCAGAACAGUUGCAGCGGCCAUGGAGACCUCUUGUUGUGCCGCGGAUAGGCUACACGUUGAGGCAGCGAUCGUCCUUGGUGGGCAUGUGUAGUGCCGUGAUGGCCCCGGUGUUCCACAGGCCGAGCAGCAAGGAUCACUCAAGGCAUGGAGGAGAUGAAGGGGCACCAGAUCGGUGCGUUCGUGCAAGGCAUGGGAGAGGCACAGGAUCACGACGCCGUUACACAUAUGCAAGGCGUUGAGGAGGCACAGAAGCAAGAAACUGAAACUCGGAAAUUGUAAUUGCAUUCAGUCAUAUCAUCUUCCUCUAACUCAAUUGCAUCCAGUCUGUUUAGAAGUCUUCAUUCACAGUUACAAUUUACAAAGCACUCAAAUAGCAACAUCGUUGUACAAUCUCAAGUUACAAAAUGCCUUUCAGUUUACAGACUUGGGUAUCAUUGUAUAUUUUACAGACUCGAAUGCCCUUCGUAUUGCUGUUUACAUACUUGGAUCUGGAUGACUAAUUUAUUAUGCUAUCUCGGCUUAACCAUUGUGGCUGUGAUCUGGCAUGCUUCUUGUAUGAAGGACAAGAUCCACUAAUAUAACCAAGGAUCUGAAAACAAAGCGAUCCAUACUGAAUGCACAAAACCACGUCAACAAAAAUGAAUUGGAUCAAAACUGUCAUUUUUUUCAUUUCCGAUUUUUUCCUGUACAUUUGUACUCUAUAUACACAUAUUGCAAAGCAGCAUCAAGAUUAGCUAAUCCUCAAAAAACGCGGAUGCCAAUCACAGGAUGUCAAAAGCAACAAGGAGUAUCUAUGAGCUAAGAAUGUUUAGGAGAGAGACCCUGCUCUGGACUAAUAUCCUGAACAGGUGUCCCGCUCCGCUCUCAAGAUCUCCAAUGCUGCACUCUAACGCCUGUAACUGGUCCUCCUCGCAGACAACCGCUUUUCUCUUGGAGAACGCCUUUGAGACAAGUGACUGCUUCGGCACUUCAAUUUGCUUCGACAAGAGCUGCACCGUGGACUCAAGUAGAGAGAUGGCGAUAUCCCUGGCCUUGGUCAGUAGCCUGACCAUUGCACAGUCUGUCUUGUCAGAAACGGCCUUCUUGCUUGACUUCUUGAAAGACUGCUUAGCCUUCUUCACCAAGCGGCUGUAAGACUGGAUCUUGGCCUGGACGGUUGCACCAUCCCCUUUUCUUAGAGCCACUUGCAACUCUUGGAUAAUGGCCUUCAACUCAACGAAGAUCUCCUGCAUGGUGUUGCAGAGAUCCAGCAGCUCGAGAGAAGACUCAGUUUCUCCGUCCAGCAUCUUCCUUUGCUGGGAAGAGCAAACCUGGUUGCUCGGCAAGUGAGUCAUCUCCACAACACUGCUGUAGAUGUCUCCAAGCCUCCUCAAACCGUCACACAUCGUGACGAUACAUGUUGAUGGUGAGGAGAUGAUCGCCUCUAGAAUACACAUCUCUUGCUGCACUGCGGCUUCGCUGGACUGAGGCCUGGACGGCAAGCUUAUGGACCUAAGAUGGCAAGCCAUAUCGACCUGUAGUCUCUGGCUGGAAGUUCUUGUGUGUUUGAAAUGAGGUAGAAGUAAUAUGAGAAGCGAACUUUUUUGCCUGAUGAUUCAAGUCUCUGCCGAGACCCUAUUUAUACACAGAGGGUAUGAGGCAGCAUCUUUUGAAUGGUAGACAAAGAGAAUCCUGCCAUUUCUUCUCCUCAGUGUUGUCUCUCAAGGUCUGAGAUCUGGCAGCAGCAUAAGGAAUCUGUUUCCUCCAUCACGCCGCGUGUGUUCAUCAUUUUUUUUAGAGUUGCCAGCUAUUCUCUCAGUGAUCCAUCACAUUGUCAUGCUUCAACUGUUGGCGACAAUAAUCAACAGGUUAGUUACUCUCCACUGGACAAUCUUGACACAAUUGCAUGCUCCUGUGAUUAGUUUAGUCAUCGCUAACCAAGUUGUUGCGCAGUUGUUGGUGAACUACGUGUUAUACAGUUGUUGCGCAGUUGCAGAUGCCACAUGCCAGUAGGUAUUUUACUCUGCGCAACUCAUGCUACUUACACGCUCUACCUCGUGUGCUGGAGCUGGUUUGCUUUAGUUAUAGUUAGCAAGAUCCAUUGGACAAGGAUCUGCUGCUUGUUGCUAAGGCAACAUACUGCAUCUUAGCAACGUGGGCAUCUCAUAAUAAAGACAUGUAAUUAUCAACUUGAACAGCGCGCCCUAACUACUUUAAUAACUGCCACCAGUAUGGAGCAUCUUUAAUUUGGAGCAUCAUUUUUUUUUUCUUAAUAAAGAAUUUCUGGAUGGAUGCUCCAAGCUUGGGUCAUUGUAUUGUAUCAUAUGAUUUAUAACUGUAAAACAACAAAGAAGUGGUCCGAAAUUGUGUUUCUGUUUUCAAGCGACUGUAUUUCUGUGCAAUACUUCUCAUAUACAGUGAUCAGCUGAUCCUCUACAUGGUGGAUGCUAAUCAUAGGGGCUCGGAGUUGGUACAUCUAUCUACAAGAAGGGAAACUAUGCCUUGGAUCAAUUUUGUGAAUAGUCCUCCCAAGUCUACCCUGAGUACCCUACCCUCUACAAGAACAAUGUUCAGCUCCAAGACUUGUAUUUGAUUCACUUCACACAGAACUCUUCUCUUUAGGAAUGUCUUGCUGCAGUGUGUCUCCCCUUCUGAUAAUCAAUUGCACCACCUGAACUCUUGCAUUGCAUAGCGCUGAAGAGAUCAAGCUGCAGCAGAACAGAGCUAGUCCUCCACUGCUUUCCUAAAUGUUUGCAUGUUGCUCAAAGCAUCAAGCAUUGUUCAGAUGGUUGUGGAGCGAGGGCUGGAAGGCGCCCUCGCAGAUCUUAUAUGGCAAGCGAUGCUUAGAGCGGAAGAUGCAGUGCUCUCUUCUUUGUAGAGGAGGCGAGAGGAAUGAUGCUCUAAUGGCGUCUACUCUCCUUGGCCUUCUCUCUCUAUAUAUAACGAAAGAAGUAGAAGCAAUACACGCUUGAAUCAGCAGACAAGAAGAAUCACGAGUUUGCUGCCCAUCUCUGUGGCAGGUUGUUGUUUUUUUCCCUUGUGGAUAAUUUAUUGAUUCAUUCAUACAUGCUAAUUAAGUAGUGUAUCAGCCUGUCAUGUCUCCAGUUGUUGCCUUGUUAAUUGGAGGCAAACAAGUACACGGUGAUGUUGUCUGAGUUACAUCUAUUAGGUGCACAUUACGGGAUGUGUAACCUCAUUACGGAACGCAUUGCUGUCAUGUUUCAGUUGCAUCUUUGGGUAGCCCGGACGGGCUGAUGUUGGACCAACAUUGCAUUUUGCAACAUGAAUUGGCCAGACAAGAAGACAGGCUGCAAGUACUGUCCGGGGGGGGGGGGGGGGGGGGGGGGGGGGGGGGAGUGCUCGAGUCUGCUAUUUUCCCUCUGUUGCUGCGUUUCCACCAAGGUCCAUUUGGAUUCUUGCUCAAUCACCCAUCCUUGUUUCAUGAGUGAAUGGAUCAGUCACAGAAAAUUAAAACAGCUAUAAUGGCACACACUGACAGUCCGACGUGCAUGUGUAAAUAAAGAAAGUAUUGUAUGUAUAUACAUAUGAACUUCUCUAAAAAUUAAAGCUGCUAUAUACAUUUCAUGUUCUUAAUGUUACACUAUGUGUGGGUCGGCACCACAGUUGGACCACCGGUCCAUUAGGGUUAGGGUUUCCUCUGAGUCUAUAUAUGUAACCUUACUCUAUGUAAUAGAUAUGGAGUUCUAGUUUCCAAUAUGGUAUCAGGUAGCUAGGUUUUCCUUCCUCACAACCCCACAUCAGCCAGCUCUCUCCCACCCCUAGCCGAUAGCACCAAGGCCGCCGACCAACCGCUGCUCCAGGAGGUUAUUCCUUCCCUCUGGGGGAAGUCGCCAGCCUACGCUCCUCCUCUUCAGCCUUGUCAUGCGCUCAUUCUAAUGCUCCGCUUCUCCUCCGCCAUGGAGCUCGUCGACCCUCCCUACCUCGUCGUGCGCCAUGGUCGGCCUCGGCGUGGUCCUGUUUCAGCGCUCCACUGCAAGCUCCUCCAGCACCCCUCCCUGCGCGAGUUGCCGGCGCGCCAGCGUGCCUCCACACGCUGCGAGGUGCCCAGAUGGCCAGAUCCGCGCGACCCUCCCUCCUCUCUGGGCGCGUGCACGGCGGCCGCCCUCGUCCCCGACUCGGCCGCCGCGCCUGCCCCGACUACCCCCCAUCCCUGCUCAGGCACGGCCGCAGCCGUCCGCAUGAACCCCGGCCAUCCACAGUCGUGAAAGUCGCCUAGAGAGGGGUGAAUAGACAAAACCUAAAAAUUAUAAACUUUGAAUACGCACUUCACCCGGGGUUAGGGUUAGAAAUAAAUAAUCUUGAAUUUGGAGUGCAGAAGAUAGUUCCUCUUGCUAUGAAUUGCUCAAUCAAUGCGGAUAACUUUGGGAACAAACUCAAAACACUAUGAGCAAGGGAACUUUAGAGAAAGAGAGGAGAGGUGAGAAACAAAUCAAGUGAUGAAGAUCAACACAAAUGAACACGGUGAUUUGUUUCCCAAAGUUCGGUUCCAAGGAACCUACUCCCCGUUGAGGAGGCUACAAAGGUCGGGUCUAUUCCAACCAUUUCCCUCUCUCAAUCGGUCACUUAGACCGGUCGAGUGCUUCUUCUUAAUCACACGGGUCACUAAGACCCCAUAAGGAUCACCACACAAUUAGGUGUCUCUUGCUAGCUUUACAAAGCACUUAGAAAGAUUAGAGUGAGAAGAAGAAAGAAACCAAGCAACAACUUGCAACAAAACAAACACAAAUCACCCUCUCAAGUCACUAAGCACUUUGAUCACUUGACUUGAUUUUGAAGCUUGGAGAGGAUUUGAUGUUUUGAUUGUGUCUUUGGAGUGUAUUCUUUUGCUCUAGCAUUGAAUGAGGAAGUUGCAAUGCUUGGAUGGCUUGAAUGAAGGUGGUUGGGGUAUUUAUAGCCUCCAACCACUUCCUAGCCGUUGGCUGACUUUGCUGUCGAUGGACAUACCGAACAGUCUGGUGGUGCACCGGACACUGCACUGAUCAUUGUCCGGUGAGUGCCACGUCAGCCGACCGUUGGGGUUUGGAGCUGUUGACCGUUGAAGUCUUCUGUCUUCUUGCGGCACCGGACAGUCCGGUGGCAAAUCGGACAGUCCGGUGCGAUCUGCCAUUGUAGACUGUCUCUGACUUCUGACGGUCAGACUGUUCUGCAGUCGACCGUUGGCAGUUGACCAUUGCUCCGUUGGCUUACCGGACAGUCCGAUGAAUUUUAGUGGAAUGGCUGUGAGAAAACCUGAGAGCGGCCAGUUUGCGGAGGUCUUCAGCCUGGGCACUGAACAGUGUUCGGUGCGCCAUAGGCUACACCAAAUCUUGUAUGUUCCAAACUUUGUAGAAUUACCUCAAGUCAUUUUCUUUGUAUGUUUAUGUUGAACUUUAUGCACCUGAGAAAAACAUUCAUCAGGCAAACUAGUUAGUCCAUAUGAUUUGUGAUGGACGUCAAACACAAAAAUCGAUUAUAGGAAAUGUUGAGGCCAUUUACCUUUCAAGCCGCCUCCCCCCUCUUGGCUGCCCUGCACGUCUCUCCCCUGCGUCGGCAUCUUCAACCGCACAACCCCUCGUCAUCGUGCUGGGCCACCUCCUAACUGCCCGCGCUGACGCCCCGGCAGCGCCUCUCCCUUCGCGCUUCUCCCGUCGGGGUCAACCCCCUUGCCAGGCCCGACGUAGGCCCUGCCCAGCUGGAACCACCUCGUUGCUCUCCCCCUUCAUCGCUGCCUUCGUUUGAUCCGUCGUUGUCGCGACCUUCCUGGCUAGAUCCACCGUCCCUUUGGCCGGAUCACCAUUUCAUGGUUGAAUUCGUCGGUGUCGUGGCCUUCCCGGCUGGAUCCGUCAAUACCCCUUCUAUUCUGCCGUGGGUGCGGCCACGCUAAUCGGCACAAAUGUGUGCACUGUCGCAGACCUCCCUAGCGGCGGCAGGGCUCCUCGAUGACCGGACGACUGAAGAAGCAAGAAGGUCCUCGGCCUCCUGGUGCUUUUUUAUUCUGUCACCCCGCCGACCACUGAUGCUCGAACGUCGACCCCUCCCGAAGAACAGGAUACUGCUGCGUGUCUGCCGACCAUGGCCACCUCGACUUCGGCUACCUUAGCAUCCAGGGGCUAUCGUCUUCUUGGAGUGCACACCGGUCUCUACUCCAGCUGCAACAUUCGCACCACGACGCUGCAAUUGCGGGGGGAUUUCAACCUAGCUCCUACCUUCGGUUUCUACUCCAGUCUCAUUGUGUGCAGUGCCCCCGUUGCGACUGCGGGAUGAUGUUAGACUGUGUGGGUAGGACAACACCACUGUUGGACCACCAACCCAUUAGGGUUAGGGUUUCCCCUAAGUCUAUAUAUGUAACCUUCCUCUAUGCAAUAGAUAUGGAGUUCUAUUUAGAUGAUUAGCAAAUCCAUUUUACAGUAAAAAAGAUCAGGGAAUCCUUUAAACAUGGACCUGGAUCACAUAAAAUGAGAUGGGUAGAUGAGAGAAUAGGCUUUCAAGUUUCAACACCACUCUCUAGACUAACAAUUCUUUUAUUGUUGCACAUAUUUUUUUGUCUACCAUAAUGGUCUUUGAGGAAGCAAUCCUUCGUCCCAAUCUGUUUGGGCAGAAAAUGCAGUUGUGUCACAGCGCAGUAGUGCGUACAUUGUUUUUGUAAGUAGCCUGACCAUAUCUUGUAUUCAGGUAAAUGCAAUGCUAUGCUAAUUAUUCAGCACUAUAAAAAUUGCAGAAACACGUGGGUGGCCAAGCAUAUACGCUGCUACUGCACAAGCUAAUCCACCCUGUAAUGAUGUGAUUAUAUUGGAAUCGAGUGAUUAAAUGCGACUAACUUGGGAACCUGGUGCUGGAGGCGAGCAAGGGCAUCUAGCUGUUCCUUCCUCCACUGACAACUUGUCUGUUCAUCCAUCAUCUCGUGAUCUGGAUCAGAUGCUCAUCUUGCUGCCCUUCAACCGUGCAGGCGAGUUUGCCGCUCAUAUUGCAGACAUAGCAUCCUCCUAAUCAAGCUAAGUUUGUGAUGCUUCUUGGGUUUGGUGGCUUCUGCGGAAGUUCACCAGUUGGGUACACAUGAGAACGAUUCUUGCUGUCUGCUGGGUGCUGGCUCAGCUAUGCAGUUGCUUCCACCUCCUUCGCUUUCGCUAUAUAAAGAGGAAAGACAGAGCCAGGAAGACCACCAUUGCAGCACCUUGCCUUCUCUUCCCCAUUUCAAGAGAAAAAAGAAGCUUCACAACUUCAGCUUCCAUUCAAAGACAUGGCUUGCCACCUUAGGUCCGCGAGUGUGCCUUCCAGCCCUCGUUCCAACAAAGCCAACAUCGAUGAACAGCUGCAGAGCCUGAAGGCAACCAUCUCCUCACCUUCAGUGGCCAUUGAAACCAUGGUUGACGGUCUCAACAAGAUGGUGGGCAUCUACAGCUGCAUUGACGAGCUCACAUCCUUGGCCGGCAACCAACGUCAGCAGAGGAAGGCAGUGGAGGAGGAGCUCGAUCGCUCCCUUGUCCUGCUUGACCUCUGCAACGCCAUGCAAGAGAACUUUGCAGAGCUCAGGGUCAGCGUCCAGGAGAUGCAGCUGGCUCUCAAGAGAGGAGACGACGUGUCUCUUCAGGCCAAGGUUCAGUCUUACGCUCGCUUGGCCAAGAAGGCACAGAAGCAGUUCAAGAAGAUCAGCAGCAAGGCUGCCUCUGACAUUGAAGGAUGCAAGAUAGUCAGGCUGUUGGCUGAAGCAAGGGAGAUUGCUGUGUCGAUGCUCGAAUCGACAUCACAUCUCCUCUCGAAGAAGAUCACGUUGCCCAGCGCUAGCAAGUGGUCUCUUGUGUCCAAGGCAUUUGAGAAGAAGAAAUUCGUGUGCAAGGAGGAGCAAUUGCAGGCGUUGGAGUUGGACAUUGUUGAUCUUGAGAGCGGAGUUGCGACUUUGUUCAGGACGCUGAUCCAGAGCAGAGUCUCUCUUCUGAACACUCUCACUUUGUAGAUAGAUCAUACAACAACUCUAGUGCCUGCGAUUAGCAUCCGUGUUUUAGAGGAUCUGCUGAUCAUCGAAACAAUUUUGAUGUAUAUAUAUGAGAGUGUACAGAAAUAUACUCAACUGGAAAUCGAUGUUUUGGGUCUAUUUUCCUGCUGUCAAUUUUCGCUUUCCAUCUUUCAUCUCGUUCAACAUGGAGGACAGCUAAAUAAAAAAAAACAAUCAAUGAAAUGGGAGUGCUGCAGUUGAAGUUUCUUCAGAAAAAUAAACUAUCAUAAGGUGCUGAUGAUUCGGUCCAUUAUCGGCCUGUUAAUUUUAACGAUAGACAUAAGAUCCUAAUAAAGUGGAUCUUGCUCCUUUAACUGAUAGCAUGCCAACUCUAGCCAUGAGAUUUGCACAUGCAACUAAUAGUUGUUCAGCAUUCGGUAAGGUGCCAACGCAUAAGAAAUUUGGAAGGCAUGUGAUCAUCUUGAAAUUGCAGGAUUCAGAUUCUAAAUGCUUAACGCACAGCAGGCAGGAGAAACAGACCAGCCUGUCAGUGUCAUGAAGUACCAAGAACGCUGAAGUCAACUGUUCCUUCCACUAGCAAUCUAGCAUGUAUCAACCAGCCUAGCCUAGCCAACAGCUGCACAACUUUGCUCUCCAAUCUCACGAUCUGAAUCUUACACUAAACUAUGCACCCGUGCAGAUGGUUUUGCUGCCAGUUAUUGAAACAUCCAAUACAACUCUUUUUAUUACCAUACUGUUUUUUUGGGUGCAAACUGAUUUGGAGAGGUCUAUAAAUAUCCCUUUUAUGCUUGUUCUAACAACUGUUGUGGACUGAAGGUAAACUUGUGUCAGGGUGAAAUAUCAGGCAUUGAUGAGGCAUUAGAAAUCACUAGUUAGAUGUUCGUGCAUUACUACGUUUUUUAUAUAUCAUCUAAAUAGACUCGUAUAAAUGAGAUAGUCAUUUAAAAAAAUGACAUCAAACCUCCACAUUUUGUUUAAUGUUUCCCUAUUUUUGUCUAGAGGACAUAUCUAGUGCACAUGGAAGCUUAGUACAUAUGGUGCAUAUAUUAAAUCAUCACCACUCAUCUUAUAUCUAACGUCUCUAGUUGAUUAUUGCAAUUUAUAAAUAACACAUUCCACCACUACACUCCACCACGUUGGAGGGUGUGAUUAGUAAAAUAUACCAAACAACUACAUACGUUAGAUAUAAGAUGAAUGCUGAUGAUUUAAUAUGUGCACUAAACUUCCAUGUACACCAGAUAUGUUCUCUUUUGUCUAUUACCAUAGCUCGUUUGAAAAGUUACAUUGAUUACAGGAAAACAAUAGGUUAACAUGAAAAAGGCCAAAGCCACAAAAUCAGAAAUAGAAUGGUUCAAUUCAAUUUCUACUCUCUUUCCAUUAGACAAGUUUCGAUUAUGCUUCCCUUUGAACAGCUUGAGCGCUUGUGUUACAGCUGUCAAAACCAAGCUCCACAAGCUGACUUUCGCUUCAAAAUCUCCUCCCUGCUAGAGGAGUUCUAGAGACAAAUAGGAUAAAACCUAAUUCAUUAAGACACAAAUGUGACCAACGUGAAAACGAUAUAUAAAGCUAUCAUUAGCUUCACCUGUGGGGGUUUGCAACUUGAGCUCUUGUGAGUAAAAUGAAUGGUAGUGAAAUUGAAGUUAGUUCACGGUUACCGGUUUUAAAUUAGUUCGCAGUUAUCAGAAGCUUACAAGUGCUUGGAACAUAUAGAAGCAAUAAUAAUAGUGAAAAAAGCAGUAAACUGGAAGAGGGGUUUGCUGCCGCACAAUGGGAGCACCCUCACAUGUCCUCGAUGAUUCCUUAGUAUGUGUUUGAUUUAAGGUCAAAAUAGGAUGAGGUGAGGGCGACACCGUCCCCUCGAUUUUUUUGGAUCACGCCGUCAUCAAAAAUUACUACGGUGUUUACCUCGCCCCCACGUGACUCUUAUCCAAACACUAUAGAAACUGUGGCCACCCCCUUCGAUCCCUCCUUGUACGUCCAACCAAACACACCUAUUAUUCAAAGCAAAUAAAUGUAUGCCAAUUCUAAAUGCCAUAAUUGAAUGAAAAAAUGAAGUUACAGCAUGCAAAGGUGAGUUUGCUUACUCGAGUUGCUUGGCUGAGAGUAGGGCUAGAAAAUAAGCUCGAGGCUCCCGAGCCGGCUCGAGCUCGGAGCGGCUCGGCUCGGAGCGGCUCGCGAGCCUCGAACGAGCCGAGCCGAGCCCCUUCUUUGAGCUCGUUUUUGCAGCGAGCCGAGCCGAGCCGGCUUGUUCCGGCUCGCGAGCCUUGCAAAAAUGAUCAAUUUAUGAAAUAAUAAUGAAUAUUAGAUAAUUUUAUAGAUAAUAGCUCAUUUUUUAGUCUUCGAUGAUGAAUAUAUUACAAGUUAUAAUUUAAUUUACUCAUAAUGUUCAAUGAUGAUUCUAUAUUUCAAAUUUAUAUAAUGUUAAUUCACCAAAUAAUGCAACGAUAAGUACCAGAAUAUGGCUCGCGAGUCAAGGUCGAGCCGAGCCUCUUUCGCCAGCUCGUGGAAUGGACGAGCCGAGCCCAGCUCGUUCAGGCACCAAGCCGCACCGAGCCGAGCUCGGCUCGUUUCUAGCCCUAGCUGAGAGUCACUAACUUAGACAAUUUCUCUUCAUUGUAUGUGUGCGGGGAUGUCUUUCUCUGAAGAUACAGUGGUGAUUGAUUGGUGAAUUCAAUUACAAAUUGAAUUUGUGAAUAUCCGGAUAAAUGCACUAAACUUAAAGAAUAUAUAUCUAAGAGCCUUCUCAAGAACUACAACUAGAAGAAACAGAAACUAUAAAUAGGUGGCCAACAAUAAUUCGCUUAUCUUGUAAGAAGGGCACUGAAACUUCACCAGCUCGGCACCUCCCACUCAUGGAACAUUGUCCUUUAUGUCAAUCAUGCACUGCAUAGGACCAUGAAAAGCAUUAGGCACAACCAUGUCAGAUGCUUGUCAAAAAUAUAGAUAGAUUAUGUCUAGCCAACCAGGCUAAGAUAUAAUAGCUUGAAUACACAAAGAACGAUAUACUCUUUUGCAACAAAUUUACUUAGUGGUAUAGAGACAAGCAUUAAGCAAUGCAAAGACAUGUGUUAUGCAUUUUAGGAUCAUAAGUCACCAAUGCAACGACAUGUAUUAUGUUGGUAGAACAAUAAUAUAAUAUAGUUGUUCAGAGAAAGCACUUGGAAUCAACAAAAUAUAUACAAUCACUAUUUCACAACUCAAUCUCUUGCAUAUGAACACUAGGACACAACAAUCUCCUAAAAAUGUUAAGGACAUGAGGCUCCACGAAGCUGUGAUAAUCACGAAGGAAAUAUAAAACUGAAAUAAGAAUAUAUAGAUAGAUCAAACUGAAAAUAGUGAUAUGUCCAAGUGGUCAUAUGUCCAAGUGACCAGGGGAAAGCAAGAGAUAACCUGUUCAAAAGCCUAACCACAGGCGGCAGCCCGCUGUCACGAUGGCAUCAAAAGUGACAGAAGAGAAACAUGACAGAAUUAGCUCAUGGGAUCAAAUGUACCAUGGACAUCUCUUUAUGAGAAAUGAGAUGGCUUUUGAUACAACAUAUGUCCAUGAGAAAUGUGACAGAAUUAACUUUUGAUCCCAUAAGCACGGAUCUAUAGUUUUUACAGAAGAGAAUUAGCUUUUAAUACAGCAAUUUUAUGUCAUUCCUUACAAAUUUCGAUCUUCUACAGAAGAGAUUUGAAAAAAAAAUUACCUGUGAAUUCAGAUCACCACAGUCGGUAACAUGUCAUUUAGCUAAAACAAAUAGGUAAUAGCAGAGUUUGGAAAACAGAUAGACAGGUUUUGGGUUUGAAAAAUGCACAAAUGAAUCUCAAAUGCAGAAAACUAUUAUAUGUACAUAGCUGUAAGCCAUAAGAUUGGAGGAGCUUAUAGCUGAAUGAUGCAGCAAACAAAUGAUCCAGGACGCAUCCAUCAGUUUUAUCUUAGUUUGUUCUAAUCAGAGGCUUAAUCCUGCUUACAAUGAGGUUAUAUUGGAAUCCACUAAUCUUAAUAUCUACUUCAGCUUGAACUGGUAAUGCUGACUGAGAGAAAAAAAAUGCAUAAGCACAUUAGCUCCAAAAUGAAUUAUAAACUAAAAAAGAUAUUGUAUGUAUUCAAAGGUAAGCCUUAUCUGUGUGUAAGGAAAGUAUUCUCCAAAAAAUGACAAUAGAAGAAGGUAGAUGAAGGGGUCCCUCAAAAUUCUCCAAGGGAAAUCAAAGGAUCUAAAAUAGUAGAGUUUAUGUUGAUUGGAAGACUUCCUUAAGUCGUUUCAACAUAGCCGGUCCCAAGCCCGGUAAAGGAGGAGGGUUGUGUUAGGUCUGGCAAACCAACGUAAAAACCAGCCAAAUCUUAUGGAGAUGAAACCACAAAGAAAAUCGUUGGGGCGUAACCCUCUUAGCGACGCGCCAUAUCGGAACCCGGGUAUGGUGUUAAAUGAGCAAGGGCCGGGCCGUCACCCCUUAAGUGACGCGCCGUCUCUUGAUCUGGAGUCGGUGAUAAAUGAGCAAGGAUCGGGUCGUCGCAUCCUUAGUGGCGCGCUACAUCGACGCCCGGGUGUAGUGGAAAAUGAGCAAGGGUCUUUGCAUCUUCCUCGGCGGGUGCGAAGGGUAAGGAAGUUAGUCGAGCCAACUAGGGUCCGUGUAGGUAGUUGGAACGUAGGUUCCUUAACAGGUAAGUUACGAGAAAUAGUUGACGUUGCGGUGAGGAGACGAGUAAAUAUUUUAUGCGUUCAAGAGACCAAGUGGAAAGGACAGAAGGCGAAGGAAGUGGAAGGUACAGGCUUCAAGUUGUGGUACACGGGGACUGCAACAAACAAGAAUGGAGUAGGCGUCUUGAUCGAUAAGAGCCUUAAAGAUGGAGUAGUAGAUGUUAAGAGGGUAGGAGAUAGAAUCAUCCUAGUCAAGCUAGUCAUUGGGGACUUGGUUCUCAAUGUUAUCAGCGCGUAUGCUCCUCAAGUAGGCCUUAAUGAGAACUCAAAGAGGGAGUUCUGGGAAGGCCUGGAGGACAUGGUUAGUAGUGUGCCAGUUGGCGAGAAGCUCUUCAUAGGAGGAGAUCUCAAUGGCCAUGUGGGUACAUCUAGCACCAGUUUCGAGGGUGUGCAUGGAGGCUUCGGCUUUGGGACUAGGAAUCAAGAAGGAGAGGAAAUCCUGAACUUUGCCCUAGCCUAUGACAUGUUUAUAGCAAACACUUUCUUUAGGAAGAGGACAUCCCACCUGGUGACCUUCAGUAGUGGCCAACACACUAGCCAGAUUGAUUUCGUCCUCUUGAGAAAAGAGGACAGGCAUGCCUGCUUAGAUUGCAAGGUUAUACCUGGAGAGUGUGUGGUAACCCAACAUAAGCUUGUCGUAGCUGACUUCCGUUUUAAGAUUCGUUUACAACGGAAUAAGCAUAACAAGGUCACUAGAACAAAGUGGUGGAAGCUUAAAGGGGAUGUGGCCCAAACUUUCAAGGAGAGAGUUAUCGAGGAGGGCCCUUGGGCAGAAGAGGGAGACUCAAAUAUCAUGUGGAGGAAGAUGGCGAUGUGCAUCCGAAAGAUAGCUUCAGAAGAGUUUGGGCUGAGUCAAGGAAACAGAAGGGAAGUUAAAGACACUUGGUGGUGGAACGAAGAUGUCCAAAAGGCUAUCAAGGAGAAGAAAGAUUGCUACAAACGCUUACAUCAUGACAAGUGUGCAGAAAACAUAGAGAAGUAUAGGAUAGCGAAGAAGUCUGCAAAGCGAGCGGUUAGUAGAGCCCGGGGUCAAGCCUUUGACAACCUUUAUCAACAGUUGGACACAAAGCAGGGAGAAAAGGAUAUCUAUAGGAUGGCCAAGAUUCGUGAAAGGAAGACAAGGGAUGUCAACCAAGUCAAAUGCAUCAAGGAUGAAGCAAACCAACUAUUAGUGAAGAAUGAAGAGAUCAAGAAUAGAUGGAAGGAGUACUUCAACAAAUUGUUCAAUGGAGGGAAUGAGAGUUCUACAAUAGAAUUGGACGAACCAUUCGAUGACAACAACAGGGGUUUUGUGCGAAGGAUACAAGAAUAUGAAGUUAAGGAGGCACUAAAAAGGAUGAAGGUAGGAAAGGCGAUGGGCCCUGAUGGUAUCCCUAUCGAGGUAUGGAGAUGCCUUGGAGACAUAGCGAUAGUAUGGCUGACUAAGCUUUUCAACACCAUCUUUCGGACAAACAGAAUGCCCGACGAGUGGCGGCGGAGUACAUUAGUACCAAUCUUCAAGAACAAAGGAGAUGUUCAAAGUUGUACUAAUUACCGUGGAAUUAAACUCAUGAGCCAUACAAUGAAGCUAUGGGAGAGAGUCAUUGAACACCGCCUGCGAAAGCUGACGAGCGUGACCCAAAAUCAGUUUGGUUUCAUGCCCGGGAGAUCAACUAUGGAGGCCAUUUUCUUACUAAGACAACUUAUGGAGAGAUUCAGAGAACAAAAGAAAGACCUGCAUAUGGUCUUCAUAGACUUGGAGAAGGCUUAUGACAAAGUACCCAGGAGUGUAAUGUGGUGGGCCUUGGAAAAACACAAAGUAGCAACAAAGUACAUUAAUCUUAUUAAAGAUAUGUACACUAAUGUUGUGACAAGUGUCCGAACAAGUGAUGGGGACACCGAUGACUUUCCAAUUAACAUAGGACUACAUCAAGGGUCGGCUUUGAGCCCUUAUCUUUUCGCUUUGGUGAUAGAUGUGGUCACAAGGGACAUACAAGGAGAUAUACCGUGGUGUAUGCUUUUUGCCGAUGAUGUGGUACUUAUUGAGGAGAGUAGGAGUGGUGUUUCGCAAAAGUUGGAAUUGUGGAGGCAGACGCUGGAAGCAAAAGGUUUUAGGCUUAGUAGGUCUAAAACGGAGUAUAUGAAGUGUGAUUUCAGUGCCAUGGGGUAUGAAGAUGGCGAUGUUAGUCUUGAUGGGCAAGUGGUACCCAAGAAAGACACUUUUCGUUACUUAGGAUCAAUGCUUCAGAAGGAUGGAGACAUCGAUGAGGAUGUCAGUCAUAGAAUUAAAGCUGGAUGGUUGAAGUGGCGGCAAGCGGCGGGUGUCUUAUGCGACCCCCGGGUGCCACACAAACUAAAAGGCAAAUUCUACAGGACAGCAAUCCGGCCGGCUAUGUUGUAUGGAGCAGAAUGUUGGCCCACUAAAAGACGACAUGUCCAACAACUGUGUGUGGCAGAGAUGCGUAUGUUGCGCUGGAUAUGUGGCCACACAAGGAGAGACCGAGUCCGGAAUGAUGACAUACGAGAGAGAGUAGGAGUGGCGCCAAUUGAGGAGAAGCUUAUGCAACAUCGUUUGAGAUGGUUUGGACAUAUCCAACGAAGACCUGAAGAGGCACCAGUGCAUAUCGGAAUAAUUAGGCGUCCCGAGAAUGUGAAGAGAGGUAGAGGUCGACCAACCUUGACGUGGACAGAGGCAGUGAAGAGGGACCUGAAGGAGUGGAAUAUUGAUAAAGAGCUCGCCGUGGAUAGGAAGGGGUGGAAGUGUGCAAUUCACGUGCCAGAACCUUGAUUUAUAGUUCCGCUUUUCCUCCUUAAUCGUUUGACCUUUUCUUGUGCCCAUUUAGACCUUGCUGGUUCUUGUGGGUUUUAUCUCUUUUAUGUGUUCCCCCGUUUCGUCGUUUUCGGUUCUCCUUUGCCUUUGUUUCCCCUGUUUUCUUUGGGGGUUGAGCUCUGAGGUUUUCAUACGGGGUUUCAUCUCUAGCCUACCCCAACGUGCUUGGGACAAAAGGCUUUGUUGUUGUUGUUGUUGUUGUUGUUGUUAAUAUAAUGAUAUGUAGCUUUAUGUGGAUUUGAGUAAAAAGAAAAGUUCAGUUAUGCAAAACCUCCGGCGCCAGCAACAGAGGGAUAAUAGCAGAGUGCUUUUAAUAGGGUGGCAAAAGCUUUGCCAUAGAUUUAUUAGAAGAAUAACAUAAAAAGAACAUAGCAGAAUGGAGCACUGUUCUUCUCACAUUCGCUUUCCCUCUUCAUUUCAAGCAUCAGAGCUGGUCAGCUGGACAGUGCUUGCAGACUGUCUUCUUAUCUGGCCAAGCCAUGUCGCGAAAUGCCAAUGUAGGUCCAACAUCAGCCCUGCAGAAAAUGUGCCCAGGCAUGCAUGGAGAUGCUGAAACAUGACAGCAACGUUGCAUAGCAAUGUUAGCUAUCCUGAAAUGUUGAAGCAUCAUGUGCACGAUGUAGAUCUGAUCCAAAAAAUGCAUCUUGUGUACGUGUUUGCCUCCAAUGAUUGAGACAUGACAGGCUUAUACACUAUUUAGAUGCCUGAAUCAAUAAAUUAUCCAAAAGAAAAUAAUCGUCCUGUCGUAGAGAUGGGCAGCAAAGUCACAAGCAACUCAACCGGCAAGAUUCUUCUUGUCUGCUGAUUCACGUGUGUGAUGGUUCUACUUCUUUCAUUAUAUAUAGAGAGACACCAUUAGAACACCAUACCCUUACCUUCUUCUCUAGAAGGAAGAUAGCACUGCAGUUUUUGCUGCAAGAAUGGCUUACCAUCUAAGAUCUCCAAGUGCGCUUUCUAGCCCUUAUAUAUCCAGAGACACCAUUAGAGCACCAUACCCUUCCCUUCUCUAAAAGGAAGACAGCACUGCAGUUUUUGCUCCAAGAGUGGCUUCAAGAUCUGCAAGUGCACUUUCUAGCAGUUGCUCUCGCUCCAAUGAAAUCAGUGUUGAGGACCAGUUGCAGAGCACAAGGAAACUGUAUCUUCAGCCUCUUCAACCAUUGCAACAAUUUACGUGUUUUGGAGAGGUUUGGAAGCAUGUUCAACGGCAUUGAGGAGACUAUGUCCUUGCCUAGCAGCCAAGUCAACCCUCGCCAAUCUAAGAAAAGGAAAGCAGCGGAGGACGAGCACUCUUUUCUGCUACUCGAUCUUUGCAGCGCCAUGCGUGCGAGAGAGCACCUCAGGUAUUAAGGUGGGUGGCCAUGAAAAACAAUUGGUUGUAAAAAGAGGAGAAAACGCAGAAAUUGAAUCCAACAUUCAGUUUCAGUCCUAUAUCCGCUUUGCAAAGAAGAUCCAGAAGCAGUUCAAGAAGAUCAGUGAACAGUCUACUUCAGCCAACCAGGAGAGCUGCAGGAUAGUCAAGCGGGUGAAACUAGAGACACUGAUAGCUCAAAUCGCCAGCCCUACUCACAUAUCAUAUUGAAUUUAAUUGCAGUGCAAAGUUCUAGAGUGGUCUCUCAUCCUCCAUAAGACAUUCCAGGAGAGCAGAGUUCCAUGUGAAGUGGAGCAAUUAGAGGUCUUGGAGAUAGAAAUUGUUGAUCUGGAGGCUUUGUUCACAAAGCUGAUCCAAAGCACAUUUUCCCUUCUCAACACUGUCAGCUUGAAGAUAGUCGUAUCAACUCUGAGCCUGUCACAUCUGAUUUGAGGAUUAGCUGAUCACUCUAUAUAAGAAGAAUUGUACAACAAAACUGUCAUUUUUUUCCAAAUUAGGGUCUCCUUUCCAUCACUGAAUGCAAAAGUCAAUUGAAAAAAAACAUUUUGGAUGUGCGUGCGCGAGUGUGAUACAAUGACCCAAAUAAGCAUUUGUUCAGAUUUUUUUAAAUGCUACUCCAAAGAUGCUUGACAUCAGUGAUUGUUAUUAAAGUAGUUAGGGCGCACUGUCCAAGUUGAUAUUUGCAUGGCUUUAUUAUGAGAUGGCCACGUUGCUCAGAUGCAACAUGUUGCCUCUGCAACAAGCAGCAGAUCCUUGUCCAGUGGAUCUGGCUAUCUACAGCCAAAGCAAGCCAGCUCCAACACACGAAGUGGAGCGUGUAAGUAGCAUGAGCUGUGCAGAAUAAAAUACCUGCUGGCAUUGGCGAUUGUGCAACUACGUAACACGCACUUCACCAGUAAUAUUGGGUUAGAGAUCAAUAAACUAAUCCGUGGAGCAUGCAAUUGCGUCAAGAUUGGCCAGUAGAGUAACUAAUCUGUUGAUUCUUGUUGCCAAUAGUUGGAGCAUCACAAUGUGAUAGAUCACUGGGAGAAUAGCUGGCACACUAAAAAAUUGAUAAACACACGCGUGAUGAAGGAAACAGAUUCCUUAUGCUGCUGCCAGAUCUCAAACCUUGAUAGACAACACUGAGGAGAUCAAGAUGGCAGGAUUCUCUUUGUCUACCCUUCAAAAGAUGCUGACUCAUACCCUCGCUCUAUAAAAUAGGUCUUGGCAAAGGCUUGACUCGUCAAGAAAAAAAUUUCACCAAUAAUACACGGUUAGCAAUCACUAAACUAAUCCGAUGAGCAUGCAAUAGUGCCAAGAAUGCUGAGUAGAAUAACUAACCUGUUGAUUCUUGUUGCCAAUAGUUGGAGCAUGACAAUGUGAUAGAUCACUGGGGCAAUAGCUGGCACAGUAAAAAAUUAAUAAACACACGCGUGAUGGAGGAAACAGAUUCCUUAUGCUGCUGCCAGAUCUAAAAACUUGAUAGACAGCAUUGAGAAGAUGAAAUGGCAGGAUUCCUUUUGUCUACCCAUCAAAAGAUGCUGCCUCAUACCCUCUUCUCUCUAUAAAUAGGUCUCGACAGAGACUUGAUUCAUCAGGCAAAAAAAUCGCUUCUCAUUUCUUCCACCUCAUUUCAAUACCAAAAAAGUUUAAGCCAGAGACUAUACAUCGAUAUGGCUUCCCAUCUUAGGUCGAUAAGCUUGCCGUCUAGGCUUCACUCCAGCGAAGCUGUAGUGCAACAAGAGCUGUGCAUCCUAGAGGCAGUGAUCUCCUCACCUUCCACAUGUAUCGUCACAAUGUGUGAAAGUUUGAGGAGGCUUGGAGACAUCUACAGCAAUGUUGAAGAGAUGACUCACUUGCCAAGCAACCAAGUUUGCUCUUCCCAGCAAAGGAAAAUGUUGGAUGCAGAAAUCGAAUCUUCUCUCGAGCUGCUGGAUCUCUGCAACACCAUGCAAGAGAUCUUUGUUGAGUUGAAGGCCAUUAUCCAAGAUCUGCAAGUGGCUCUAAGAAAAGGAGAUGAUGCCACCGUUCAAGCCAAGAUCCAGUCUUAUAGCCGCUUGGUGAAGAAGGCUAAACAAUCUUUCAAGAAGGCAUGCAAGAAGGUCACUCCUGCCAGCACAGAUUGUGCAAUUAUCAGGCUACUGACCAAGGCUAGGGAGAUCACCAUCUCUCUACUUGAGUCGACGCUGCAGCUCUUGUCGAAGCAAAUCGAAAUGCCUAAGCAGUCGCUUGUCUCGAAGGCAUUUUCCAAGAGAAAAGCAGCUGUUUGCGAGGAGGACCAGUUACAGGUGUUAGAGUCCAGCAUUGGAGAUCUUGAGAGCGGAGCAGGACACCUGUUCAGGAUAUUGGUCCAGAGCAGGGUUUCUCUCCUAAACAUCCUUAGCUCAUAGAUACUCCUUUGUUGCCUUUUGACAUCCUGUGAUUGGCAUCCGUGUUUUUGGGGAUUAGCUGAUCAAUUUUGUAAUAUGUAUAUAGUACAAAUACAUGUACAGGAAAAAAAUCAGAAAGGAAGAAAGGCAUAUAAGUUUGAUCCAUUUCAUGUUUCCCGAUGUGGUCUUCUGCUGCCAGUAUACUUUUUAUUGCGAUCCUUAUUUUGUGGAUCUUGCUCAGCGUACACUAAGCAUUCCAGACCAGAGCCACGAGGGUGGUUAAGCUAUGAUUAGCACAAUAAAUUAAUCAUCCACAUUCCACUUCCAUGUUUGUGUGGUAUACCAAUAUCAAUGAACAUUUAGUUUUUCAGAACGGAUACAAAUUUCUAUUCCGAGUACAGGAACAAUUGCCUCAAGAUGCAGAUCAUUCUGUUAGCAUGUUUAUUACUGUCUAUACAUCACAUUCCCGUGUAUCGGUGUAUGCAUUUCUAUCAAGAAUACACAAGCCAUCCAGCGCCGCAUGCAUUCCAUCGUGCUUCAGUCAGAAUAUAUCUACUCGAUUGAUAAAUUUCUUAAACCCCGAGCCCCGGAGACAAUUAACAACUAAGGCCCUGUUCGGGCCCUGUUCGGUUAGAGGUAGAUUGAGGGGGGUUGGAGGGGAUUCAAUCCCUUUCUAUACAAAUUUAUAUAGAAGGGGAUUGAAUCCCCUCCAAUCCCCCUUAAACCCCUUCAAACCGAAUAAGCCCUAAAUAAUCUCACAUCCGAAUCCAAGCAAAUCCAUUCGAGCUGCCAUAAACCAACUCGAUUGGACAAAGUGAUGAAUGCAAAUGGAAGGUGCGGUUAGCUCUUUGGUCAGGUGCAUGGCGUGGUCCCGUGCAGGAAGCUUUGGGGUGGGAUACAGAUAGGCUACAGGCCACCUUCCCGUGCCCUGACCUGGACUCCGACGCAACGCAUUCCCUCCGUUUCAUCCUCCUGGCCGGCGGCAACCUCGCCUAAUAAUUCGAGAUGGUGGUGGGUUGGGUGGUCCGCACCUUGGCUCAGGCCUUCUCCUCUGGACCGCGGAUCCGACGAAUCAACGAUGGUGGCGAGGUCCAAAUCCUUCCGCCGGAGUCGACCUUAGAGAACCGCCGUCGCCGCCCACUGAACACUGGACCCGAAUUUUUUGCAUUUUGGCACUUUCUCGAAAAAAAAUCACGUUUAGACCCUAAAAAUUUUAAUGUCAUUUUUGGACCCUUUGCUCGGCGCCAUAGCCUAUGGUGCCGAAGUAACACAGCUCGGCGUCAUAGGCUAUGGCGCCGAGGUACGUGCUGCGCUGGCACAACCGGACGCCGUGGCGCCGACGUGGCACCGAGCUCGGCGUCAAGAUCUAUAACGCUGAGCUCGGUUGUAUAACCACAAAGCCUAUCUAGCUUAGUUGGUACAUUGCAAGGCUCUUAAUCUUGUAGUUGUGGGUUCGAGCCUCAUGGUGGGCAUUUAAUAUUUUUUUGUCUUUGUCACUGAUUUAUUUUUUUUGUCUAGAUUUUUUAUCUCGCUGAUUUGUCCGUCCAGAUUUAUUUCUCAUCCAUAUUUUUUUGUUAAGGAUCAUAUAAUUGUUCAUCCCAAAUAAAAUAAACAUGUUUCAUAUCGCUGCUUCUGUCAACUGUACUUAAAAACAACAGUUUUUAGUGUUCUUAUUCACUUGAUUUAUUUCUUUGCUGGCGGUAACGUUGGCUAAUAUAUUUAAAUGCAGGGUACAAGUAUAUUAAUUGAACCUGCUGUUAUAUCACUUCAUAUUAUUUUUUACAAAGCGUUCAUGAUAGAUGGGUACUAAAUCUUUUGUUUUCAGUUUUACAUGUGCCAAUACACUAAUAAAUCAAAUCCCAAUAAGUGAAUCUUCGAUUGCUUAUUUAGGUCCAAAGCAAAGGUCAACUAGCAAACAAUAUAACGAGGAUUUGGUAAAGUUUCAUUUCUCCAAGUGUAUUAUGUGAUGUAUUUAUUAGAAAUGGUAUUUUGUGAGUAUUCAUGAGAGUGUUCUUUAUGCAGGAGUUUAAUACAGGAGAUUGGACGAGAAAAACUAAAAAGAUUGGACGAGUAUUUUUUUCUUACAACACGACACAAAGAGAAAAGUGAAAAUCAGAAAAGAAAAAAAGCAUGAAAAGGUAGCAGAGUAUGCAUGGCGAGGACGAAGAGGCUGGCUCAUCACUCAGCGAGUUCUUCUUUUUGAAAGGAAGGGGCAAAAGACUUGCCGCUCCGAUAUAUAUUAUAUUAGAGAGAAAAGAAAUGGAUAAUACAAAACCAAAGCGACUGGAGGGCAGAGGAAAAGAAAGAAAAAUAAAAAUAAAAAGAGUAGAACAGAAACCCACUAGACCAGACCAACAAGACCUCAGCUACUAGCAAUAUCUGAUGACUGCAAGGGCCACUUGAUUAACGCUUCUAUGCUGACUUUGGAAAAUUCCGUUAUUCCUUUCCAGCCAUAAAUUCCACCAAAAAUGAAUUAGCAGGCCGUCGAAGCGUCUUCUUGACUGACUGUUGCAAAGGCUAUGCAGACCCGUCCACCAAUCAUACAAAGAUGUGUCGCUGAGAAUCCCAUUCGAGAGAGGAAGGUUGGCCCAGGACAACACUUUGUUCCACACCUCUCUACUAAAGGGGCAGUCCUUGCAUAAGUGUAGAAUUGUUUCUGGGGCUGAGUUACAGAGACAACAUAUUGGGUUGCAAGGCCAACCCCUUUUAAGAAGGUUAUCGGCCGUUAUAAUUUUCUUAUGUAGUAAUGUCCAGGCAAAAAAACGGCACCUCGGUUCCACCUUAGCCUUCCAAAUAGGGCAGAGAUUCAUUGUACUGUAAUUAGAUGAGAAUUGGAUGUUGUAAGCACUGCUUGCACUGUACUGCCCAUCUGCCGACCAUCUCCAAGUAAUGGUGUCCUCCAAACCAUUGAGCUCUUGCAUGUUACCUAUGGCUUGCCAAAGAGAGACGAACUCUCUAAGCUCAACCUCCCCCGAGCAUGGGAAGCAUAAUCGUAUCCAAUUGUUGUUAGUGAGUGCUUUGUCAACCGUGAUGUUCUUCCUCUUUGUCUUCCUGAAGAGUGAAGGUGCAAUGCUCUUAGGGGCUUGACCUUGGAUCCAGCUAGAUUUCCAGAACUCAGCUAUCUUUCCAUUGCCAACCGUCACCAUUGUGGAUGCAUUGAAGAGAUCUUCAUCAGUUCUGUCACAAGGAAGCUUCAUGGCAGUCCACGCCCUGUUUUUGCUCUUCCAUCGUAACCAAAGCCAUCUUAGUCUUAACCCCCUCGCAAAACGAUCAAGAUCCAGAAUUCCAAGACCCCCCUUGCUCUUUGGGAGGCAAGUUGUGGGCCAGUUGAUAAGGCAGUGACCCCCGGAGCAAGCCUCUGGAUUGUUCCCUUUCCACAGGAAGUUUCGUCUCAUUUUGUCAAUUGAAUGCAGCAACCAUUUUUGAGGCGGAAAAACCGUUAGAUGGUAGAUUGGCUGUGCGGAUAGCACCGAUUUUACUAGAGUUUCCCUACCAGCCUUGGACAGCAGUUUACCUUUCCAACCAGCCAACUUGUUGUUAAUUUUUUUGAUUAGUGGUUGGAGAUCAGUCCUUUUUACAUUCCUGUAAUGAAGGGGUAGCCCUAGAUACUUUCCAGGUAGGCUAGAGUAAUUUCCGGGGAACACGUCCAUUAGCGUUGGCCAUAAUGAUGCUGGAUAUCGAAUUGGGAAAAUUUCUGUUUUGUCAUAGUUGAUCUUUAGUCCUGAACACCCCUCGAACGUGUUGAGAAUCCCUUUCAGCACCUCCAAGUCUGAUUUGUCAACUCUGACAAAAACACCCGCAUCAUCCGCGUAGAGAGAGCACCGAAGCUUAGCUCCUCUAGGCAAUACCUGUCCAAGCAGUCCAUCCUCAGCGGCCUUCUCAAUCAUCCGAUGCAGCGGGUCCAUCGCUAAAAUGAAUAGGAAGGGAGAUAGAGGGUCCCCUUGUCGAACCCCACGUCUGUGUUUGAUUGCCUUUGAACGUUGCCCAUUUAAAAUUAUUCUUGAGGAGGACGAUCCCAGGAUUUCAGCUACCCAAUUGCGCCAUUUCUGGGAGAACCCACAUGCCCUUAACACAUCCAAGAGAUAUGCCCAAUUCAGGGUGUCGAAAGCUUUAGAGAUGUCAAGCUUGACAAAUAGAGCUGGAUUACCUUUUUUAUGCAGCUUCAUGAUCACCCUCUGCACGUAUAGAAAGUUGUCAUGUAUUGACCGGUUCUGGAUGAAGGCAUUCUGAGCGUUGGAUAUAAUUUCGUUCAUUCUUGGCGCAAGCCUAUUUGCCAUGAUUUUUGUUAUAAUUUUCAUGAAGCUAUUGAUCAGGCUUAUCUGCCUAAACCUAUCAAUUCUGUCAGCAUUUUCCCCCUUGGGUAUGAGGAUGAUGUUUGCUUCGUUGACCUGGUGCAGGCUUUUGGAUCUAUGUUGGAAAAAAUCAUUUAUUGCCAUGGAGAGGUCGUUUUUGAUCAACUCAAAGCAGCAUUUGUAGAACUGUCCAAUGAACCCAUCCGGCCCGGGAGCCUUUUCAGAUUGAAGCCUCAUGAUCACGUCCUUAAUUUCACUAUCAUCAAUCAAGUUGUCCAGCUCAGCUAGCUCAAAAGGAGCAUACCCCAGAUGGUCCCAACAAACAGCACUGCUCCUCCUUCCUGUCAUGCCUAGAAUCUGACCGAAGUGAUGCUGUACCUCGUUCAUUUUGUCUUACUGGCUCGUUAACAGCGUGUCAUCUCGAAUUAGCGAUCUGAUUAAAUUUUUCCUUCUUCUAUUAUUGGCCGCCAAGUGAAAGAACUUAGUGUUAGCAUCGCCUAAUCGCAUCCAAGUAAGUCUGGAAUGUUGUCUUGCUCGUGACCUCUGAGCGGAGGCAAUAUCCAGAAUCUUGAUUUUAAGGGUCCUCCUGAAUUCCAAUUCUUCGGAGGAGAGUUGUCUAAUUUCUUGUGCUUUCUCCAGAAGAGUGAGGAUGAUCUGAAUGAUAGCCAUCCACACUUUGAAGUUGCCAACUGUAUUGCGUCUCCAGGUCAAAAGAGCCUUGGCUGUGCGAGUCAUCUUCACGUGAAGGCGAAGGAUUGCAUCAUCAGUGUUAACUGUAGAAUUCCAUGCUUGAUGGACUACCUCAUUGAACCCCUCAAUCUGUGGCCAGAACGAUUCGAAUCUGAACCCCCGGUAGAAUUUAACCGUAGAGUGGCCUUGCAUUAACAGUGGGCAAUGGUCCGACGUCAUGGAGCACAUGGAGAGUAGAUCAGCUGCGGGGUACAGAUCAUGCCAUUCUGUUGUCGUGAAGAAUCUGUCAAUCCUAGUCAUGGUAGGGUUAGCUUGUUCAUUUGACCAGGUAAAUGCUCUAUCGGUGAGAUCUAGCUCUAAGAGGUGCAGAUCAUCAAUUGUGCUAUUGAACUGCCUCAUCACCCUUCUGUUGAUUGACCCUUUGUUUUUUUCUCUUGCUCUCUUGAUCAUGUUGAAGUCACCUAAAAUUACCCAUUCUGGCCUCACCAUGGUUUGAAUGUUUCUGAGCUCAGAGAGGAAUAUCAUUUUUUUCAUUGUCCGGUUGGGGGCCGUAAACACCCGUGAGAUCCCAAACUUCAUCCACCAAUCUGGAAAUGAUCCGGACAGACAGCGAAUAGGCUGCAGAGCCUGGUAAGAGGACCAAGUCAAAGUAGUCUAAAUCGGUAGCGAUUAGGAUGCCGCCUGAGGCGCCCUGAGAAGGCACAUGAAAAGUUUGAUUUGCAAGCUUAGCACCAACAGUUUCCUUUAAUAAUAUAUUUGACCAGCUCGAGAUCUUUGUCUCUUGAAGGCAAACAAUGGAUGCGCCAGUGGAUAGAAUUGUAUGCCUUACGCUUUCUCUCUUAGCAUGGUCAUUUAACCCCCGCACAUUCCAAGAGAAAAUAGUGCAUUUUGGAUUCAUAAAGUAAUAAAAACCACUCUAAUUGAGACAGAACGAAGCCACCAAUCAAAUCCCAGCCAGGAACCCUGCUGCAGCAAACCAACAGUGAAUAAUAAUUUCGAACAAGGAUUCGUCGAACUAGUACAAAGCCCAGAACCAAAGGACAAUCUGAGAGUACAGGGAUACAAAGGCAUGCCAGGGACCCUAUAGCACUGCCCAGACGCGCUAAAACUAGCAGAAAUUAAAAAGAGAAAAAAGGGUGGGGUGGACCCGGAACCGCGCCAAAAGCGCCUAGCCAUCUGAGGAAACAUUGAUCAGCAAAAGAACCACCAACAAACCCAGUCGCAGCAGCUCAGAACCCCUUAUCCUUCACGGCUUCGAUGGUUGGCAUCACCUUUCGACCCUUCUUUUUAGUCUUCCCUGCCUUCACGUUGUCUUGAUUUAUCAGCUCCAUGAUUGCCUCCAUUUGGUUCUUGGUAAGAGGCCUUGUGAAUAGACUUGCGAUCUGCUCAAAUGAAUCAUCAAAAUCAGUAAAGUCUGAAGAACUAGAGCAGUCUGGAAUUUUAACUGCAGAAUUGUUAAGUUUGGCGCGAAUGAUUUCCUGAGCUUUGGAUAUUGCAUCUCGGUUAGUACCAGUCUUAAAGUUUUUCUUCGCAGCCAACCUAACACUUGAUCUUCUAGUGGUGGGUUGCUUCUGAAAUUUUAAUGUAUGUGAUGAAUUGGUCGUGUUACUUUUCGGCAGAGAUGGGAUCAGUGGUGGUUCUGGUGGCGUUGUUAUUGCUGCGAUGAAGUUGGUCAACUGAGUAUUGUCGGCUAAGCUGUUCCCUGCCCUCAGAGCAGGAGGAGCUCUCAAGGUUUCAUGAUUAUUGCUGUCAACUGGUUGACACAUUGGAUGGUUAUCGCUAACGCCCGACUGAAAAACUGGGCAGGACAAAUUGUGGAUAGUUGGGGCACCCAUUAGGCCGACCCGUUCAGCAGCUGGCAAGUUGUGAUGUACAGCUUGAUUAGCAUUCACGAGUUGGGAGCCUAGCAACUCAACCGAUUGGGCAGCUAUGGACUUGGCUGGAACAGAAUUGUCCAGGGUCAGAACAUUGUCUAAAUUGUCGAGGACAGUAGCUGGCAAGUUGUGAUCUACAGUUUGAUUGUCGUUUACCAGUUGGGGGCGUAAAAACUCAGUCGGUUGGACAGCUGGGGCCUUGGCUGCAAUAGAAUUGUUCAGGGCCAGAACACUGUCUAAGCUAUUUAGAAUUGAGGCGAAAACAUUAUUAAGAUCCACAGAAUUGGUUACCUUGCACUUGGAGGCAUCAGGGUCAUGUGAGGUUUCCUGGUUGACACCGCCAACAGACCCUGGCGUGCUUCCAACACCAGCAGCAAGCUCCAGGCCGCCUACCUGCGGCCAGACAGCAGAAACAACAGGGUCUGCAAAUGAAACAGUUUUGCCCUUUCUCUUGGGCACCCAGCAGCGAGUUGAUGGUGUCAUCCCCAGACCAUGACGACGGAAAGGAGUUGAAUGCCUAUGCUUGUCGUUGGAGCUAUAGCAGUCAUCCAUCCCUCCCCGGCAUCGCGAUGAACGCGCCCAACCGGAAAGACUUCGGUGCCUACGGUUUCCACUGCGUCUGUCACGCUGAAAGUCCCCCUCAUCAUCAUCGUGGCCCCAGUCAUGACGCCCAGUCUCUCUACCUCUGAAAGUUUAUGUACGUUCUCUUUUUUCACCCAUUGAGUCCAGGGCGCCAUAGUUCCAGACAAAUUCUCUUCGCUGCUUGCGAUUAGGAGGGCCCCCCUAGAUCCCCUCCCACGGAGGAAGGAGAGGUCUUCCACCACCUCGAUGUGAUUGCGAAGAGUGUAUACAUGACCAGCUUUCAGAUCGGAAGGUUCAUCAUGAUGAGCACCAGCAAGCGGUAAUGGGGUGCUAACUGGUGGAAGCUCCCUGUCCGGUUCUAAAACCGUUAGCUGGACCUCUUUGGGUAUGUCACAAGGGUCAGAGCACCAUGCCCAUAGAUCGAAGGACCUAGUGCGCUCUCUACGCCUUGUGCCCUCUUGCACAUAGUGAAUUGCACAGCUCUUGCCUAAGGCCUUCGAAGCCACUUCUUCCCCCCAACAGUGAACCGGAAUACCUUCAACCCGGACUUUAACUCUAAACUCCAGGUUCAUUUUCCUAGCAUAGCUGUCCUCUGACCAAUCUUCAAAAUGGAAAGUCCGACCACGAUACGAGACCGAACCCCUAUCAAGUGCCCACAGCUUCGACCUUUGAUCCGAGAAUAUGAUAAAAAAACUACUCAGGAAAGUGCUUGACUAGCUGAUACUGAUCGUGGUGAAGGUUGAACUUCUCCCUUAGCAUGUCUCCUGCAGCUAAUGUGUCAACCUCAUGGCUAUUGCCGUCGAAGGAGCAAACCACAGCCUUGUCAAUCAGCUCGUCUCUAUGGCGACGGAAGGAGCCGGUCGCCGAGACUAUGCAGAAGGCACGCGAUGGUCUUCCUCGAGGGUCUCCAGGGUAGCGAGCCUCCAUUCCUCGGUCUCCCUGAACAACCUGGAGGUAGGAUUUCUUGUGUGUGGGGGGCGGUUGACUGAGUGGAGCCUUACAGCGUUGCUCAUGGUUCCUACAGCGUUGCUCAUGGUUCUUAUGUAGAUCGUCAGUCCAUAGUCGUGCCUCAUGGUAGGUAGGGGUCCUUGAUGGUUGCUCGGCUGGCUUAGGAAUAUAGCUAGCAGCAGUGAAUGUCCCCUGAGAGCUUUUCCAGUUGUAGGACCUCGCUCAAUGUCCGGAUUGAAGGCAAAGCCAGCAGCAUGAAGGAGCCUGGCAGCAAAAAGCUAGAUGUUCUGAUGAGAAACAGUUGUAACAUUUGCCCUUUAGCUUCAAUUUGAAAAGACCAGUGCCCUUCACGUCGAAUUGAUGAUAUUGCCGUGUUCGCUCAGGAGACGUCCAGCUCUUGCGCCACCAGUACCACGGUCUGACCACCGACCAGCCCCCUUCAAUGACAUCCGGCGCAGCAGGGUAUGGCUUCUGUCCAUUCAAACGCGGCGCGGAAUCGAGACCAGCAGCACGCCGAUGUGACCAAACGUUGCCCGAAUUCAAAUCCCCUUCCGCCUUGCAGGAGAGCUAGAAAUCCGGCGAGCGAUCUGCAACCUCUUUGGCCUUUCCAGUCGCCAGGAUACGCGACAUUGAAGUCUGCUGAAGAGGAUCACCAAGUACUGCCUGCACUGGACGCGAAUCUGCUUUGGAUUUUGAUCUUGGAUCCACCCGGGUCGUUGAAACAGAGCCAUCGCCAGCCGCGACGGACCAUUGAAGCUUCGAUUGAGAAAUUGGGUCGCCCUUGCCUUGGGAAUCUUGAGUUUGCUUGCAGAAAUCAUCUCUGAUCUGAGCCUGAGAAUGAGGGAGUUCCUUCAUCGUACUUACCGGGUCACCGAGUGGGGAAUCCGUCGCGCGCGGGGCCGAUCCGCGCCCGCCGAGAAGGGAGGCGCGAGCCCAGCCCGCGGCGGACGGAGGAUCCCCCGGCGUCUGGAAAGGAGGGCCAAGGGAAGCGGCGGCGCCAUUCGCCAUCCUGAUCUCCGUUCCACCCCCCCGCUCAGAGCUCACCUAAAGGUGUCGCCUAAAAAUGAAAAGUAUUGCGAGUUCUUUUUUUAGAGGGGGGAAAAAGCAUCGUCGAUCCCUCUCAGUCAUGAGUGACGAUCUAGAGAGACCCGUAAUUCCGCGUUCGUCCGUGUGCAUGAGUGGUUGCCUGCCUUUUGUGGCAAAUGGGGAUCGGCCAAGCGGGGAUAGAAAAGAUGCCUGCCUGCGAUCAUUGGUGUGCGUGGUGUAGAAAGAGACAAAUCUGUAACAAAAACAAAAACAAAAAA